RNAcentral lists this ribosomal RNA (465 nucleotides) under Vreelandella stevensii. Its description in RNAcentral is "partial 16S ribosomal RNA". It matches the Rfam family "Bacterial small subunit ribosomal RNA", at positions 338 to 795 of the family's 1533-position model. The record is from RNAcentral. Lineage: Bacteria; Pseudomonadati; Pseudomonadota; Gammaproteobacteria; Oceanospirillales; Halomonadaceae.
CCUACGGGCGGCAGCAGUGGGGAAUAUUGGACAAUGGGGGGAACCCUGAUCCAGCCAUGCCGCGUGUGUGAAGAAGGCCCUCGGGUUGUAAAGCACUUUCAGUGAGGAAGAACGCCUGGUGGUUAAUACCCAUCAGGAAGGACAUCACUCACAGAAGAAGCACCGGCUAACUCCGUGCCAGCAGCCGCGGUAAUACGGAGGGUGCGAGCGUUAAUCGGAAUUACUGGGCGUAAAGCGCGCGUAGGUGGCUUGAUAAGCCGGUUGUGAAAGCCCCGGGCUCAACCUGGGAACGGCAUCCGGAACUGUCAAGCUAGAGUGCAGGAGAGGAAGGUAGAAUUCCCGGUGUAGCGGUGAAAUGCGUAGAGAUCAGGAGGAAUACCAGUGGCGAAGGCGGCCUUCUGGACUGACACUGACACUGAGGUGCGAAAGCGUGGGUAGCAAACAGGAUUAGAUACCCCUGUAGUC